Molecule: ribosomal RNA, 317 nt
Filed under: Capnocytophaga canimorsus
Lineage: Bacteria; Pseudomonadati; Bacteroidota; Flavobacteriia; Flavobacteriales; Flavobacteriaceae
Description: bacterial SSU rRNA
Rfam family: Bacterial small subunit ribosomal RNA
Source: RNAcentral
GUAGAGUGCUUCGGCACUUGAGACCGGCGCACGGGUGCGUAACACGUGUACAAUCUACCUUUUGCUAAGGGAUAGCCCGAAGAAAUUUGGAUUAAUACCUUAUAGUAUUGUUUGGUGGCAUCACURAAUAAUUAAAGCUCUGGUGGCAAAAGAUGAGUACGCGUCCCAUUAGCUAGUUGGUGUGGUAACGGCAUACCAAGGCUACGAUGGGUAGGGGUCCUGAGAGGGAGGUCCCCCACACUGGUACUGAGACACGGACCAGACUCCUACGGGAGGCAGCAGUGAGGAAUAUUGGACAAUGGUCGGAAGACUGAUCC